UUCCCAGUAGCGCAAUUGGCUAGCGCACGGUACCUAUAAUGUCGAUGUUGUGAGUUCGUGCCUCACCUGGGGAA
Araneus ventricosus is the source of this 74-nucleotide non-coding RNA. Lineage: Eukaryota; Metazoa; Arthropoda; Arachnida; Araneae; Araneidae. The record is from the annotation of a GenBank genome assembly.